This is a long non-coding RNA of Octopus bimaculoides (California two-spot octopus), 2242 nucleotides long. The record is from RefSeq and is a predicted model, not a curated record. NCBI's taxonomy places the organism in Eukaryota, Metazoa, Mollusca, Cephalopoda, Octopoda, Octopodidae.
UGCCAAUGAUACUCCUAGAACUUGCUUGUGACACUCGUACAACUGACACAUCAUUCUGCUAUCGAGAUAAUUUACGUGUCUUAUCUCGAUAACCGUACCCAAAAAGAACUUAAAACGAGAUAUAUAAGAAUUAGUAUCAAAAAGUUAAUUUACAUGCGGGGACUAGUUUACUCUGAUGAUUAUGCAUAUUACACUAACCAAAUAUCUAACAUGAAUUCAGGACGAUGAGCGAGAAACUCCUCUAUCGCAAGCGAAUUUUUGAUCGAGUCAGUAUCAAUCGCAAGUUUGCUUCCAACCUACGAGCAUUAUACAGAGAGCUGGGGAAGGAAAGCAUUACCAUUAAGAAGGAUCCUUCCCAAGAAGAUCCACAAUCAUUCUGGUCAAAAAUUUGAAACAAAAAGAGGGAUUUCAACCUGAAUGCAUCAUGGUUAAAUACAAUUGAAAGAGAAUACUGUACCAACAUUGACUGUAAAACAUACAAAAUUGAUGCAGACACCUUCGCUGUAGCCGUAGGCAAACUGCAGAACGGGAAGGCACCUGGAAGGGACCUAAUAGUUGGGUAUUGAUUACAUGCUAGGAUCUUCAACUGCAAGAAAUAUCAACGUAACUCAUAAUUUCUUAGUAGACGAUCUCAAGAUUUAUGCUAGAAGUGUUCUCAACAUUUGGGACACUUGAUUGGUCUGUAGAGGAAAUCCACUCCAUAGAUAUCAAAACCCGCAAAAUCCUGACAACUUCUAGGAACUUCCACAAAAUCAGUGAUGUUGACAGGCUCUACCUAAGAAGAAAUGAAGGUGGUAGAGGCUUCUAUAUCCAGACUAUGAAUUCAUAUUCAUACCAAUAAUAAUUGGAGCUCUAGGUUUUGUUAGCAAAUGUUUAAAGGAGAAUCUGGAUAAACUAGGAUUUCCGAAAGAGAAAUCGACCGGCUAAUUCGUACAUUAAAAAUGCAUUCUAUGAGUGGAACAGUAAAAAUAUGCAAGACUUUUCUCAAGUUCUAAAUGUAAAUUUGUCUGUGUUAACUUCAUCUCAAAAAUGGAGCCUUGUCUCUUUGUUGGAAACCGGUUCUCUCCUCAGUGGAAUAUUUAUAAUAAUUUUUAAAAAAUAGAAAACAUACAUACAUGCAUGCAUACAUAUAUUUCCAAAAAUUUAGCACAUAAAUACAUAUGCAUGCAUCUAGACAUAAAAACGCAUCCAUAAAACAAACAUACAAAUCUGCGCAUACACUAACACCAAAUACUGCACACACACACACACACACACACACACAUAUGCACAAAUACCUAGAUGAUGUUGAUAAAAGUUCCAAUGAAGGAGCCUUGAAUCUAUGUUAGAGUCCGGCUCUUUCUCUAUGGACAAGAAAUACAGAAAUGAAACUGAUUGAUAAUAUACAUACAUACAUACAUAAACAGGCCCAGGGGCGCGCGCAUAUGUAUGUAAGUAAGAGGUGUCAAUCGUCACAAUUUCUCAGAAUAUUAAAAAGAAACUGAAAGAAACGCAAACAAAAUAUGUUAAUAAAUUACUAACAUGGACAGUUGACAUAAAUUAAUAUUUUUAUCUUUCUAAUCUCUCUUUUCAGAUUUUGGACUUUGUAAUUCGAGUAUUAUUAGUCACUUUUAGCUGAUUAUAUUUCAGCAGGAUGAGCUAACAGCAGAAACUGUCUGUUUCGAAGAAAUCCUCGUUAUUAUAUCAACGAAUAUUUCGUCUCCUUGUUUUUUGGUGAAACUUACCGUUCACUUUUCUUAUUCCAUUUAUAUAUUCGCUCCAUGAAAUAUACAUUUAGUCAGUUCGUUUCCUUCUAAUUAGCCGUAGCCUUUCUAUUACCGAUGGUCCGUUGAUCCUUGUUCUCACAAAAAAUUGUGGUUUUAAAAAUAUCUACCAAAAACACUAUCAACGGAAUUUAUAACUAAAGUUGAUCAAGAUGCGAACAUCAAAUUUCCUCGCUUUAAUUUUACUCGUGUAUGGAGUAUAUACAAGCCCAUUCCUGAAACAGCUGGUAAGAAGCACCGAAAUGAAUAAUGAACGAAAAUCAAUAACAACAACGAUAACAGCAAGAGAAUAUCCUGUGGCGAUAAUAGCUACAGGCACAGCGUUAGGAAGGGCAUCAGGAACAACAUCAGCAUCAAUAACAAGAACAGCAACAACAACACCAACAACAUCACCAAGAACAAUUACAAAAAUAGCAACACCAACAACAACACCAACAACAAAAAUACCAACAACACCAACAACAAAAAUAGCAACACCA